GUGUGGAUGAAAUGAGCAUUCAAGGGAGGCCGAAGUUCCAUGUUUCUGCUGUGAUCAGGUCUCUUGCUCUCUGUCUAGAGGCUCACAGCCCCCACAGACUUCUUAGAUACCCCUCACAGAUGAAAAUGACGAAGUCUAAGGGACACAGUCAGGGACAGCCCAGUCUCCACCGGUGUGUCUGCGAAUGUUCACACUCAUCUGCAUGUGUGUGGGGGUGUAUCUGCAGGCCAGAAGAUGAUGUCAAGUAUCUUCUCCAGUUGCUUCUCCGGUUGGUAUUUUGAGACAAGGUCUGAACCUGAGGCUCAUUGAUUAAUUGGCUGGGCUGGCUGGCCAGUGAGCUUCUGGGAUUCUCAGGUUUCUGCCUCCCAGUGCUGGGAUUAUAGUUAGGUAUCUGCAACAGUGAAGAAGCAGAUGGCCGGUAGUGUGGAUGAUGAUGGGUGACUAGCAACAUGCUUUAAUCCAGUGAUUCUGUGCAGCAAUUUUGGAGAAAUGGCCAGAAACUUGAUGACAUUCCUCCUCCCAACAGAUAGAGUCUGGAUAUGUGUUCACUUGUGAACUCAGAAAGCCUUAUGACCGUUUUCACCAAUAAACUAUAAUGGAAUGAAGCUACUUGAAUUCUGAGGGUGGGUCAUAAGAGGCCAUGUGGGUUCUGCUUGGUUCUCUUAGAAUAUUCAUUCUCAGGAAUCCCAAACAACAUGCUGUAUGAAGUCUGAACCACACAUAGUUGCUCCAGGCCACACUAUGAGAGAACCAUCUCGGCCCAGAUCCCAGGGGUGGACAUACAGGAGGUUUCCCUAGCCAUCUGAGAAGCUCUUGCUGAGAGUCUAAGACAAGCCACUCCUGCUGUGUUCUGCUCACGUUCCUGAUCCACAGCAUCUACACUCAUGAUAAAGUGGUUGUUCCGGCCACUGAAUUUGCAGGGGGUUGCUAUAUUGUGGUAGGUACCUAGAAUAAUGAGGAAUAUGUACUUCUAGUUUGGGACUUCAGGUUUUCUUUGCAGCUUAUACAUAAACUUGAUAGGGUACCCCCAAAGUUAUGAGCUCCACCCUGCUACCCUUUCUGCCUUUUGCUACUGUUUUUGCAAACCACUGUUAAAAUCAGUAAGUUGUAGGCUUCUCUUGAUGUUAUCUGUUGGAGCAGCCGGGAUACUUUUCACAGGACAGUAGCAUUGUCACUCAGGGGAGACACAGGAGCUCAGCAUUUCUUGAGGGGCUGUUUAGAGAUUCUAAAAGAUAAAUGAAGCUUUUAGUGUACCCUUGACUAAAGAAUGGUCCUCCAUUAGGGAAGGUCAUCUUCUGUGACUGAGCACUCAACUCUGGAUGCACAUGCGAUGGCAGAAGAAGGGGACACCUACCUAGCCAGUCAUAUCAGGUGACCAAUGGCAUGACAGAUGUUGCAAACAGAUCAUCUUCACAUCUGGAGUUUGGUAUUUCUUCAUAAAAAAUGAGAAGACUUAAGGAACCCUCUUCCUUGAUGUGGUUGGGACUUCCGGUCCUUAGCAUGUUCUACAGUGGUAGGCACUAACCUUGGGCAGGUUGAAGAUCUAGCAAGUGUGAAAGGCAGAGAUUGGAAGUUGUGUUAUUAAUCUAGGUAAAUUAGCACCCUGGUCCCAUUCCUGGGAUGUGACUGUACCCCUUUUAACCCAUUUCUUCUCUCUAUGAUGCAUGACAUUACACAGGGAUAUAAUAGGUAAAUAUAAAGUGAAUGACAUAAUAAAUACAGUUGUUGGAUUUUACUUACACUUAAAAUCAUUUCUAAUGCCACUUGAAAUGAUCUGGAGAAAAUGGUGUUUACUGGAAUUUUCCUGAGAAAGAAAAAUGCAUCUUUAGAGAAUGCAUUUUUAAAAACUACAUUUAUGAUGCCUAGAGAGAUUGCUCAGGGCUUAAGAGCACUUGCUAUUCUUGCAGAAGAUUAGGUUCUAUUCCCAGCACCCACAUGGUGGCUCACACCCAUCUGUAACUCCAAUUCCAGAGAACCCAAUGCCCUCUUCUGGCUUCUGAGGGAACGGCAUGCUUGUGGUGCACAUACAUGCAGGCAAAAUAUUCAUAAAAUAAAAAUGUAAACACAUCUUUAAAAAUUACAUAUCUUUAUUUUACAUGUACACAUGCAUACUACAACACAUCCAUAGAGGUCAGAGGACAGCUUAUUGAAUCAGUUCUUUCCUACCACAUGGACUCAAGUCAUCAGGCUUGUCAGCAAGUACUUCUACCUACUGAGUCAUCUCACAGCUUCCUCCACCUCCCUGAAAGCAUUUUGUAAGCACAUGGGGUUGUACUGUGGUUCCUGAGGAGUGAGGCUAUUUCCUAACUGUGCGUGACACAAGAGGAUUCUGUUGGUGGUUCCAGAAAUACAGAGAGUAUUUCUGGACACACUUUUUUUGUGUAUCCCCAUGACUUCAGGGAGCUUCUCUAGAGUCCAAGAUAUUCCAUCUGAAUGGGAGAAUUUCCUAUGGAAGCCGAUGAGGGUCUGAAAGUAUCAGGGCAUCAGAACGGGGGAUAGAGAAGCAACAGGCCCAGGAAGAAACAGAGGAAAUGAAUCUUUGAGCUCAUGGGUGUUGGGAGGGCACUCAGUUGAACUGAGUCUCUGAGUGGCAAGACCAUCUCAGGACUAGGUUUUUUCCCUCCUUCCUCCCUCUUCUUCUUCCCCCUCCUCCUCUUCCCCCCUCUUUCUCUUUAAAAACAAAACUAGAACACAUCAGGAGCAACUGAUUGAGUCAAAUCACCGAGAAAGCCACUGAGCCUGAGUCUUUGGCCUCUCAGCUAAGUUAAAGAAUCUUUUUGGCCUGUGAGCAUUUCUAUUACUUAGUAAAAAUUUCAGAGAUUUUACUCACAAAUCCUGGCACUUUCUCCAGAAAUAAUAUUAUUGGCAAGGAAAGAUUGAUAAAAUAAAAAAAUAAUGUAAGAAAUGUAUUUGUUUACCUAGAAUAUAAUUUCUUUUCAUACUGACCCAAUUUCUCCUUAGAUCUUGGGUUUGUGACUAUCUGAAUGAUGUUAUUAUUUCACCUUAGGUGAUUUUAUUUUUUCUGUUCUAGGAAACAAGAAAUAAGUCAAACUCUAGAAUUUGUUUAAAAAACUUG
Molecule: long non-coding RNA, 3076 nt
Organism: Peromyscus californicus insignis
Lineage: Eukaryota; Metazoa; Chordata; Mammalia; Rodentia; Cricetidae
Exons: 3
Source: RefSeq, a predicted model, not a curated record